Molecule: non-coding RNA, 235 nt
Organism: Dermacentor andersoni
Lineage: Eukaryota; Metazoa; Arthropoda; Arachnida; Ixodida; Ixodidae
Source: RefSeq, a predicted model, not a curated record
GCCCAAACGCAUCUGCAGCGCUAAGCCUAAAGUUGGACAAGGCAACGUCCCUUCGAAUUUCUAAUAUGGACUUCCGAAAGGUCUGCCGCUCGCUUAUGGAGGCGGAACCUGGCCCAGGUGGACCAGAAUAGGCAGCUACAUUCAGAUGAUAUUCUGAAUCCGUCACAAGGACUGUGUCGCGCGUAUUGCGAACGUUUUGAUGGAGCUGGAAAAUGAACCCUUGAAUGCAUUCAAA